RNAcentral lists this ribosomal RNA (725 nucleotides) under Agromyces binzhouensis. Its description in RNAcentral is "bacterial SSU rRNA". It matches the Rfam family "Bacterial small subunit ribosomal RNA", at positions 64 to 795 of the family's 1533-position model. The record is from RNAcentral. Lineage: Bacteria; Bacillati; Actinomycetota; Actinomycetes; Micrococcales; Microbacteriaceae.
GAACGAUGAAGCCCAGCUUGCUGGGUGGAUUAGUGGCGAACGGGUGAGUAACACGUGAGUAACCUGCCCUGGACUCUGGGAUAACCCCGAGAAAUCGGAGCUAAUACCGGAUAGGACCUUGGAUCGCAUGAUUUUUGGUGGAAAGUUUUUCGGUUUGGGAUGGACUCGCGGCCUAUCAGCUUGUUGGUGAGGUAAUGGCUCACCAAGGCGUCGACGGGUAGCCGGCCUGAGAGGGUGACCGGCCACACUGGGACUGAGACACGGCCCAGACUCCUACGGGAGGCAGCAGUGGGGAAUAUUGCACAAUGGGCGCAAGCCUGAUGCAGCAACGCCGCGUGCGGGAUGACGGCCUUCGGGUUGUAAACCGCUUUUAGUAAGGAAGAAGGGGAGCUUGCUCCUUGACGGUACUUGCAGAAAAAGGACCGGCUAACUACGUGCCAGCAGCCGCGGUAAUACGUAGGGUCCGAGCGUUGUCCGGAAUUAUUGGGCGUAAAGAGCUCGUAGGCGGUUUGUCGCGUCUGCUGUGAAAUCCCGGGGCUCAACUCCGGGCCUGCAGUGGGUACGGGCAGACUUGAGUGGUGUAGGGGAGACUGGAAUUCCUGGUGUAGCGGUGGAAUGCGCAGAUAUCAGGAGGAACACCGAUGGCGAAGGCAGGUCUCUGGGCACUUACUGACGCUGAGGAGCGAAAGCGUGGGGAGCGAACAGGAUUAGAUACCCUGGUAGUC